This is a non-coding RNA of Vicugna pacos (alpaca), 1045 nucleotides long. The record is from RefSeq and is a predicted model, not a curated record. NCBI's taxonomy places the organism in Eukaryota, Metazoa, Chordata, Mammalia, Artiodactyla, Camelidae.
CAAUCCGUCUCCCUUUUGUCUGGGCUUCGUUCUCAGGGAGUGUAUCCUUAGUCACAAUAAAAAUAGCCACCAGCAGGUUCAUGCACAUUUCCCACAACUCUGAUAGGGAAUGUCUCUUCCCCUUGUUUUCCACAAAGCUCCCUGGAAUGUUUGCCAUUGGCCUAGAUUGUGUCACAGGGCUCCCCAACCAGUCUCUCGGAUUAGUCUAGCCCGAUUCAUGUGUCUGCCCCUCUUGCAGCUGGGAGGUGAGUCAGCCCCACUUGAAAAACAAGAAAUGAACCUGUAGGUGGCACGUUUCCCCCAGAUGGCCAGACAGUUCCUUCACCAGAAGAAGGGGUGCUGAGCCAGGCCAGAACAGAUGAUAUAUUCUUCAGGCUCUCUCUUCCCUUUGUGUGGUGGGCCGGACACACCCAGAUGGAACCCUGUUGAACAAGAGUUACUUGUACAACGUCAGGGUUCCAAAUGGCUUGGAAGAGUAUCGCUCAAGCACAUCAUGGGUUUGCUGCAAGUGGAAAUCCAACCUGCAGAAUCAUAUUGGGAAAGCAUGUUUGCAGGUAGCAGCCGCCACUCCUGACUGGAGUUCAGAGGCAGGAGCUGGCCAAAAAAGGAAUCUGCAUGAGAUGUGGAAGGUGGAGGUGAGGGAGCAGUCACUACCCUCUGCAGGCUGUCGUGGUCAGAAGCGGUUACAGAGGGAUGGAUGCAGACGUGCCUGUGGGGUCCAGCCUGUCCAUACUCUCCUCUGCUCCUGACCUGCCUCUUCUUACCAGCUGAUGAUCCUGUUGACUGACAGUGGCCCCAACACUGCCACGUGCAUGGCUGUGAUCCACAUUCACAAAGCUGCUACCCAGAGGCACAGCUGCCCACUGGCCUCCCAUGAGCCUUGUCUUUGCCAUCUCAUUCUGAUGCUGGAUGUGUUUAGCUUCUCAGAUCGACUAAAUGGUGACCUCUUCUCUGAUCUCCAACUUUCCUCCUGGUCCUUCACUUCCCCAGGUCCUCCUACCAUGGUGUUAAGUUUCUUUCCUAUAAUAAAUUCCUUUUUCCAGAA